GUUUAAUAUCAUUGGCGGGACUCCUUUUCACACACGGUCGGUUAGCCCCACGAGACAUCUAUUGCUGAUUAGACAAAGCAGAACAUAAGUUUCACCGUUAAGGAAUGAAGAUGGCGCUGCUUCAUUAAUCGUCAAGCUUGAUGUAGGCAACUGUCCCCCCCUGUUGUACAGUGCGCAAAGCGAUCCCCACUCUUCCGCCGAGAGCUCAUUAUCCGUGCCGAUAACUAUACUACGCUAUCCAGCAGUUUGGUAAUCUUUGGGUAUCAAUAAAUAAAACCAAUAAAUACACUUUUAAAAUCAA
Long non-coding RNA from Helicoverpa zea (corn earworm), 301 nucleotides. RefSeq lists it as uncharacterized. Lineage: Eukaryota; Metazoa; Arthropoda; Insecta; Lepidoptera; Noctuidae. The transcript has 2 exons. The record is from RefSeq and is a predicted model, not a curated record.